RNAcentral lists this ribosomal RNA (254 nucleotides) under uncultured bacterium. RNAcentral describes it as "partial 16S ribosomal RNA". It matches the Rfam family "Bacterial small subunit ribosomal RNA", at positions 524 to 776 of the family's 1533-position model. The record is from RNAcentral.
UACGUAGGGUGCGAGCGUUGUCCGGAAUUACUGGGCGUAAAGAGCUCGUAGGUGGUUUGUCGCGUUGUUCGUGAAAACUCACAACUCAAUUGUGGGCGUGCGGGCGAUACGGGCAGACUGGAGUACUGCAGGGGGAGACUGGAAUUCCUGGUGUAGCGGUGGAAUGCGCAGAUAUCAGGAGGAACACCGGUGGCGAAGGCGGGUCUCUGGGCAGUAACUGACGCUGAGGAGCGAAAGCGUGGGGAGCGAACAGG